UGACCUCGGAUCACGUCAGGAUACCCGCUGAACUUAAGCAUAUCAAUAAGCGGAGGA
This 57-nucleotide ribosomal RNA is filed under the name Aureobasidium sp. 11b_amb. RNAcentral describes it as "partial 28S ribosomal RNA". It matches the Rfam family "Eukaryotic large subunit ribosomal RNA", at positions 1 to 57 of the family's 3401-position model. Lineage: Eukaryota; Fungi; Ascomycota; Dothideomycetes; Dothideales; Saccotheciaceae. The record is from RNAcentral. RNAcentral also lists the same sequence under 1 other name.